CCUACGGGCGGCAGCAGUGGGGAAUAUUGGACAAUGGGGGCAACCCUGAUCCAGCCAUGCCGCGUGUGUGAAGAAGGCCCUCGGGUUGUAAAGCACUUUCAGUGAGGAAGAACGCCUGGUGGUUAAUACCCAUCAGGAAAGACAUCACUCACAGAAGAAGCACCGGCUGAACUCCGUGCCAGCAGCCGCGGUAAUACGGAGGGUGCGAGCGUUAAUCGGAAUUACUGGGCGUAAAGCGCGCGUAGGUGGCUUGAUAAGCCGGUUGUGAAAGCCCCGGGCUCAACCUGGGAACGGCAUCCGGAACUGUCAAGCUAGAGUGCAGGAGAGGAAGGUAGAAUUCCCGGUGUAGCGGUGAAAUGCGUAGAGAUCGGGAGGAAUACCAGUGGCGAAGGCGGCCUUCUGGACUGACACUGACACUGAGGUGCGAAAGCGUGGGUAGCAAACAGGAUUAGAUACCCUGGUAGUC
This 466-nucleotide ribosomal RNA is filed under the name Vreelandella stevensii. Its description in RNAcentral is "partial 16S ribosomal RNA". It matches the Rfam family "Bacterial small subunit ribosomal RNA", at positions 338 to 795 of the family's 1533-position model. The record is from RNAcentral. Lineage: Bacteria; Pseudomonadati; Pseudomonadota; Gammaproteobacteria; Oceanospirillales; Halomonadaceae.